UACGGGGGUGCAAGCGUUGUUCGGAAUUAUUGGGCGUAAAGCGCGUGUAGGCGGUUUGUUUAAGUCUGAUGUGAAAGCCCUGGGCUCAACCCAGGAAGUGCAUUGGAUACUGGCAGACUUGAAUACGGGAGAGGGUAGUGGAAUUCCUGGUGUAGGAGUGAAAUCCGUAGAUAUCAGGAGGAACACCGGUGGCGAAGGCGGCUGCCUGGACCGAUAUUGACGCUGAGACGCGAAAGCGUGGGUAGCAAACAGGAUUAGAUACCCGCGUAGU
This 271-nucleotide ribosomal RNA is filed under the name uncultured bacterium. RNAcentral's name for it is "partial 16S ribosomal RNA". It matches the Rfam family "Bacterial small subunit ribosomal RNA", at positions 524 to 794 of the family's 1533-position model. The record is from RNAcentral.